Molecule: long non-coding RNA, 209 nt
Filed under: Carica papaya (papaya)
Lineage: Eukaryota; Viridiplantae; Streptophyta; Magnoliopsida; Brassicales; Caricaceae
Description: long non-coding RNA (CPAP_LNC000436)
Source: RNAcentral
AAUUUUUCUUCGAAAACUGAAACGUGCUUACGGUACUAACAAAUGUCCCAAUUAAACCUAAAAAUCAGUCCCAGGGCCUAAUCGGCCAAUUUAAAAAAUCUGACACAGCGGCCACGCCGUGCUCCGGCCAUGGCGCCGCCGCCGGCGGUGGCGGUCCACCUUGGGUCAAUCAUUUUUGGCCGAAUUCGAUUGAUUUUAUAUCGAUUCCU